GGAUCCUUAGUGUAGAGGCCUAUCACGUCUCCCUGUCACGGAGAAGACCACGGGUUCGAAUCCCGUAGGAUCCGCCA
Molecule: transfer RNA, 77 nt
Filed under: Treponema rectale
Lineage: Bacteria; Pseudomonadati; Spirochaetota; Spirochaetia; Treponematales; Treponemataceae
Also listed under: 4 other names
Description: tRNA-Asp
Rfam family: tRNA
About the family: Transfer RNA (tRNA) molecules are approximately 80 nucleotides in length. Their secondary structure includes four short double-helical elements and three loops (D, anti-codon, and T loops).
Source: RNAcentral